This 497-nucleotide ribosomal RNA is filed under the name uncultured bacterium. RNAcentral describes it as "partial 16S ribosomal RNA". It matches the Rfam family "Bacterial small subunit ribosomal RNA", at positions 28 to 507 of the family's 1533-position model. The record is from RNAcentral.
GAUGAACGCUGGCGGCGUGCCUAAUACAUGCAAGUCGAGCGAACGGACGAGAAGCUUGCUUUUCUGAUGUUAGCGGCGGACGGGUGGGUAACACGUGGAUAACCUACCUAUAAGACUGGGAUAACUUCGGGAAACCGGAGCUAAUACCGGAUAAUAUUUUGAACCGCAUGGUUCAAAAGUGAAAGACGGUCUUGCUGUCACUUAUAGAUGGAUCCGCGCUGCAUUAGCUAGUUGGUAAGGUAACGGCUUACCAAGGCAACGAUGCAUAGCCGACCUGAGAGGGUGAUCGGCCACACUGGAACUGAGACACGGUCCAGACUCCUACGGGAGGCAGCAGUAGGGAAUCUUCCGCAAUGGGCAAAAGCCUGACGGAGCAACGCCGCGUGAGUGAUGAAGGUCUUCGGAUCGUAAAACUCUGUUAUUAGGGAAGAACAUAUGUGUAAGUAACUGUGCACAUCUUGACGGUACCUAAUCAGAAAGCCACGGCUAACUACGUG